RNAcentral lists this ribosomal RNA (253 nucleotides) under uncultured bacterium. Its description in RNAcentral is "partial 16S ribosomal RNA". It matches the Rfam family "Bacterial small subunit ribosomal RNA", at positions 524 to 776 of the family's 1533-position model. The record is from RNAcentral.
UACGGGGGGGGCAAGCGUUGUCCGGAAUCACUGGGCGUAAAGGGCGCGUAGGCGGCUCAUGAAGGCUGUGGUGAAAGUCCGGGGCUCAACCUCGGAUCGGCCGUGGCGACUCGUGGGCUGGAGCACUGUAGAGGCGGGUGGAAUUCCGGGUGUAGCGGUGGAAUGCGUAGAGAUCCGGAAGAACACCAGUGGCGAAGGCGGCCCGCUGGGCAGUGGCUGACGCUGAGGCGCGACAGCGUGGGGAGCAAACAGG